GCUGGCAAGUGUUGAUCAGAUAUCCUACACUCUCAAUGGAAAAUUCCAUGUGUGGACUAAUAAUCUCCGCUUAUUAUCUGAUGCCUGG
Molecule: small nucleolar RNA, 88 nt
Filed under: Triticum aestivum (bread wheat)
Lineage: Eukaryota; Viridiplantae; Streptophyta; Magnoliopsida; Poales; Poaceae
Also listed under: 1 other name
Description: Small nucleolar RNA R16
Rfam family: Small nucleolar RNA R16
About the family: snoR16 is a member of the C/D class of snoRNA which contain the C (UGAUGA) and D (CUGA) box motifs.
Source: Rfam by way of RNAcentral